This 449-nucleotide ribosomal RNA is filed under the name uncultured bacterium. RNAcentral's name for it is "partial 16S ribosomal RNA". It matches the Rfam family "Bacterial small subunit ribosomal RNA", at positions 29 to 523 of the family's 1533-position model. The record is from RNAcentral.
AAUGAACGCUGGCGGCAGGCCUAACACAUGCAAGUCGAACGAGGCAGCAAAGCCUAGUGGCGGACGGGUGAGUAACGAGUGGGAACGUGCCCCUUGGUACGGAAUAGCCCUGGGAAACUGGGAGUAAUACCGUAUGUGGUCGAGAGACGAAAGAUUUAUCGCCAAGGGAUCGGCCCGCGUUGGAUUAGGUAGUUGGUGGGGUAAUGGCCUACCAAGCCGACGAUCCAUAGCUGGUUUGAGAGGAUGAUCAGCCACACUGGGACUGAGACACGGCCCAGACUCCUACGGGAGGCAGCAGUGGGGAAUUUUAGACAAUGGGGGAAACCCUGAUCUAGCCAUGCCGCGUGAUCGAUGAAGGCCUUAGGGUUGUAAAGAUCUUUCAGUGGGGAAGAUAAUGACGGUACCCACAGAAGAAGCCCCGGCUAACUCCGUGCCAGCCGCCGCUGUAA